RNAcentral lists this ribosomal RNA (373 nucleotides) under uncultured bacterium. RNAcentral describes it as "bacterial SSU rRNA". It matches the Rfam family "Bacterial small subunit ribosomal RNA", at positions 509 to 881 of the family's 1533-position model. The record is from RNAcentral.
CAGCAGCCGCGGUAAUACGUAGGGAGCAAGCGUUGUCCGGAUUUACUGGGUGUAAAGGGUGCGUAGGCGGCUAGGCAAGUCAGACGUGAAAACCAUGGGCUCAACCUGUGGACUGCGUUUGAAACUGUUUAGCUUGAGUGAAGUAGAGGUAGGCGGAAUUCCCGGUGUAGCGGUGAAAUGCGUAGAGAUCGGGAGGAACACCAGUGGCGAAGGCGGCCUACUGGGCUUUAACUGACGCUGAGGCACGAAAGCAUGGGUAGCAAACAGGAUUAGAUACCCUGGUAGUCCAUGCCGUAAACGAUGAUUACUAGGUGUGGGGGGUCUGACCCCCUCCGUGCCGGAGUUAACACAAUAAGUAAUCCACCUGGGGAGU